CAGCAGCCACGGUAAUACGGAGGGUGCAAGCGUUAAUCGGAAUUACUGGGCGUAAAGCGUGCGUAGGCGGUUCGUUAAGUCUGUUGUGAAAGCCCCGGGCUCAACCUGGGAAUGGCAAUGGAUACUGGCGAGCUAGAGUGUGUCAGAGGAUGGUGGAAUUCCCGGUGUAGCGGUGAAAUGCGUAGAGAUCGGGAGGAACAUCAGUGGCGAAGGCGGCCAUCUGGGACAACACUGACGCUGAGGCACGAAAGCGUGGGGAGCAAACAGGAUUAGAUACCCGAGUAGUCCCUGUCUCUUAUAC
This 301-nucleotide ribosomal RNA is filed under the name uncultured bacterium. Its description in RNAcentral is "partial 16S ribosomal RNA". It matches the Rfam family "Bacterial small subunit ribosomal RNA", at positions 509 to 807 of the family's 1533-position model. The record is from RNAcentral.